This 381-nucleotide ribosomal RNA is filed under the name uncultured Glomus. RNAcentral's name for it is "SSU rRNA". It matches the Rfam family "Eukaryotic small subunit ribosomal RNA", at positions 569 to 959 of the family's 1831-position model. The record is from RNAcentral. Lineage: Eukaryota; Fungi; Glomeromycota; Glomeromycetes; Glomerales; Glomeraceae.
AGCAGCCGCGGUAAUUCCAGCUCCAAUAGCGUAUAUUAAAGUUGUUGCAGUUAAAAGCUCGUAGUUGAAUUUCGGGUCAGUAGAUUGGUCGUGCCACUGGUAUGCACUGGUCUUACUGGCUCCUCCCUCCUGAUGAACCGUAAUGCCAUUAAUUUGGUGUUGCGGGGAGACUGGACUGUUACUUUGAAAAAUUAGAGUGUUUAAAGCAGACUAACGCUUGAAUACAUUAGCAUGGAAUAAUGAAAUAGGACGUUCGAUCUUAUUUGUUGGUUUCUAAGAUUGACGUAAUGAUUAAUAGGGAUAGUUGGGGCAUUAGUAUUCAAUUGUCAGAGGUGAAAUUCUUGGAUUUAUUGAAGACUAACUACUGCGAAAGCAUUUGCC